Molecule: ribosomal RNA, 2180 nt
Filed under: Acidimicrobiia bacterium
Lineage: Bacteria; Bacillati; Actinomycetota; Acidimicrobiia
Description: 23S ribosomal RNA
Rfam family: Bacterial large subunit ribosomal RNA
Source: RNAcentral
ACUCAAGCUAUAAAGGGCCAACGGUGGAUGCCUUGGCGCCAGAUGCCGAUGAAGGACGUGGGUGGCUGCGAUAAGCCACGGGGAGCUGUCUACCAAGCUUUGAUCCGUGGAUCUCCGAAUGGGGAAACCCGGCUGGGGUCAUGCCCAGUCACCUCUGCCUGAAUAUAUAGGGCAGUAGGAGGGAACCGGGGGAAUUGAAACAUCUCAGUACCCCGAGGAAGAAAAAGCAACAGCGACUCCUGAGUAGCGGCGAGCGAAACGGGAAGAGCCCAAACCGCUGCAGUGGUACAGCCUGCCGGCGAUGCUGCAGCGGGGUAGUGGGAUCCGCCUGGAACGGUGGCAGACGUUCCAAGGAGUUACAAAGUCGAUCGUUAGUGGAACCGGUCUGGAAAGCCGGGCCGCAGAAGGUAACAGCCCUGUACACGAAAACGAUCGAUCUCCUGGCGGUCUCCCAAGUAGCGCGGGAUCCGGGAAAGCCCGCGUGAAUCUGCGAGGACCACCUCGUAAGGCUAAGUACAGUCUGGCGACCGAUAGUGCACGAGUACCGUGAGGGAAGGGUGAAAAGAACCCCGGGAGGGGAGUGAAAUAGAACCUGAAACCGUUGGCCUACAAGCAGUCAGAGCGUCGUUACGGGUUUCGACCCGUAGCCGUGAUGGCGUGCCUUUUGAAGAAUGAGCCGGCGAGUUACCGUCUGUGGCGAGGUUAACCCGAGAGGGGGAGCCGGAGCGAAAGCGAGUCUGAAUAGGGCGCAGAGUCGCAGGCGAUAGACCCGAAGCCGAGUGAUCUAUCCAUGGGCAGGCUGAAGCGAGGGUAAGACCUCGUGGAGGGCCGAACCCACCAAGGUUGAAAACUUGGGGGAUGACCUGUGGAUAGGGGUGAAAGGCCAAGCAAACUCGGUGAUAGCUGGUUCUCCCCGAAAUGCAUUUAGGUGCAGCGUCGCGUGUUCAGUACCGGAGGUAGAGCACUGGAUGGCCUAGGGGGCCUACAAGCUUACUGAAGUCAGCCAAACUCCGAAUGCCGGUACUCCAAAGCGCGGCAGUGAGACCAUGGGGGAUAAGCUUCAUGGUCGAGAGGGAAACAGCCCAGAACGCCAGCUAAGGCCCCUAAUUCUGUGCUAAGUGGCAAACGAUGUGGGAUUGCCAAGACAGCCAGGAGGUUGGCUUAGAAGCAGCCACCCUUGAAAGAGUGCGUAAUAGCUCACUGGUCGAGUGGUCCCGCGCGGACAAUGUAACGGGGCUCAAGCACAGAGCCGAAGCUGCGUCAUGUUGCUUGCAACAUGGGUAGGGGAGCGUCGAUCUCUGCUGUGAAGCGGCGGUGUGAACCGACGUGGAGCGUGGUCGAGUGCGAAUGCCGGUAUGAGUAGCGAAUGAGGGGGGAGGAACCCCUCCGCCGAAUGCCCAAGGGUUCCUGGGGAAGGUUCAUCCGCCCAGGGUUAGUCGGGAGCUAAGGCGAGGCCGAGAGGCGUAGUCGAUGCACAACAGGUUGAUAUUCCUGUACCACCGUGUCCGCGUUCCCCCCAAUGGUGUGCUGCCCGGGGGCUGUCUUCGGACGAGCCCGGACCAGGCGCCGGCGGGUAGCAAAGGGGUGACGCAGGAGGGUAGGUCAGCCCGGGCGUUGGUUGUCCCGGGGUAAGCAUGUAGGGGGCCGGAUAGGCAAAUCCGUCCGGCACACACCCUGAGAUGCGAUGCCGAGCCGUCACAGGCGAAGUGACUGAUCCCAUGCUGUCGAGAAAAACCUCUAGCGAGCUGGCACGGUGCCCGUACCCCAAACCGACGCAGGUGGGCAGGUAGAGAAUACCAAGGCGAUCGGGAGAACUCUGGUUAAGGAACUCGGCAAAUUACCCCCGUAACUUCGGAAGAAGGGGGCCUCAGUAGAGUGACGGACUUCGCGUCCCGAGCUCGAGGAGGCCGCAGAGACCAGGGCCAAGCGACUGUUUACUAAAAACACAGGUGCGUGCUAAGUCGUAAGACCACGUAUACGCACUGACGCCUGCCCGGUGCCGGAAGGUUACGGGGAAGGGUUAGCCGCAAGGCGAAGCUCUGAACCUAAGCCCCGGUAAACGGCGGCCGAACUAUAAUAGUUAGAUCGGAGAGGCUGCGACAAAACUUGGCAAACUGGUGAAUAUGCUAGUACCCGCGGGUACCCGGCGUUGCUGUCCCACACGAGAACUCCCCGAGAAC